This is a long non-coding RNA of Hemiscyllium ocellatum (epaulette shark), 471 nucleotides long. RefSeq lists it as uncharacterized. The record is from RefSeq and is a predicted model, not a curated record. Lineage: Eukaryota; Metazoa; Chordata; Chondrichthyes; Orectolobiformes; Hemiscylliidae. The transcript has 2 exons.
UGGUAUAAGCUGGAUGAGCUGUUUGAGCAGGAGAGGAACGUUAGGAUGGCCAUGGCUAACCGUGCCGGACUGCUGGCUCUGAUGCUGCACCAGACCAUUCAGCACGACCCUCUCACCACCGACUUGCGGUCGAACAAGGAACGCUGACACCCCCCCCCCCCCCCUCUCCAUCGCCACCCACGAGAGAAAAGGGGUCGUUCUGAAGGUGGGUUUUGACAGAGCGGGUGCCCAGCAAAGGAGGCCACCCCCUUUUCUCACCCAGACACCGCAUGGGCCUCCUCCCUUGGUCCUGGCCUAUCCUCGGGGACCUGUCAGCCUUCCUGCAACAAAAGGAGGAGAGUAGCUCAAGCCGAACGAUCGGAGUCUCUCUGCUUUCCAGGUGCACAGACUGUGGUUGGACAUUGCCAUUUCUUUUUCACUGUAAUUACCUUCUCUCGUGUCCGAUUAAUAAAGGUAGCUUCCUGUUUUUCA